Molecule: ribosomal RNA, 522 nt
Filed under: uncultured Sphingobacterium sp.
Lineage: Bacteria; Pseudomonadati; Bacteroidota; Sphingobacteriia; Sphingobacteriales; Sphingobacteriaceae
Also listed under: 1 other name
Description: bacterial SSU rRNA
Rfam family: Bacterial small subunit ribosomal RNA
Source: RNAcentral
GAGUUUGAUCGUGGCUCAGGAUGAACGCUAGCGGCAGGCUUAAUACAUGCAAGUCGAGGGGUAACAUGGGUAGCAAUACCUGAUGACGACCGGCAAACGGGUGCGGAACACGUACGCAACUUUCCCAAAACUGGUGAAUAGCCUUUCGAAAGAGAGAUUAAUACACCGUAACACAACGAGGAGGCAUCUCUUUGUUAUUAUAGACUUCGGUCGGUUUUGGAUGGGCGUGCGCCUGAUUAGGUAGUUGGCGGGGUAACGGCCCACCAAGCCUGCGAUCAGUAACUGGUGUGAGAGCACGACCAGUCACACGGGCACUGAGACACGGGCCCGACUCCUACGGGAGGCAGCAGUAAGGAAUAUUGGUCAAUGGACGAAAGUCUGAACCAGCCAUGCCGCGUGAAGGAUGAAGGUCCUCUGGAUUGUAAACUUCUUUUAUCUGGGACGAAAAAAGCUCAUUCUUGAGCGCUUGACGGUACCAGAGGAAUAAGCACCGGCUAACUCCGUGCCAGCCGCCGCCGUAAG